RNAcentral lists this ribosomal RNA (1503 nucleotides) under uncultured bacterium. RNAcentral describes it as "bacterial SSU rRNA". It matches the Rfam family "Bacterial small subunit ribosomal RNA". The record is from RNAcentral.
AGGGUUUGAUUCUGGCUCAGGACGAACGCUGGCGGCGUGCUUAACACAUGCAAGUCGAGCGGUAAGGCCUCUUCGGGGGUACACGAGCGGCGAACGGGUGAGUAACACGUGGGUGACCUGCCCUCAGCUCUGGGAUAAGCCUGGGAAACUGGGUCUAAUACCGGAUAUGACCACAUGUUGCAUGGUGUGUGGUGGAAAGUUUUUCGGCUGGGGAUGGGCCCGCGGCCUAUCAGCUUGUUGGUGGGGUGAUGGCCUACCAAGGCGACGACGGGUAGCCGGCCUGAGAGGGCGACCGGCCACACUGGGACUGAGACACGGCCCAGACUCCUACGGGAGGCAGCAGUGGGGAAUAUUGCGCAAUGGGCGGAAGCCUGACGCAGCGACGCCGCGUGGGGGAUGACGGCCUUCGGGUUGUAAACCUCUUUCGACCGGGACGAAGCGGAAGUGACGGUACCGGUAGAAGAAGCACCGGCCAACUACGUGCCAGCAGCCGCGGUAACACGUAGGGUGCGAGCGUUGUCCGGAAUUAUUGGGCGUAAAGAGCUCGUAGGCGGUGUGUCGCGUCGGCCGUGAAAACUUUCAGCUUAACUGGGAGCUUGCGGUCGAUACGGGCAUCACUGGAGUUCGGCAGGGGAGACUGGAAUUCCUGGUGUAGCGGUGAAAUGCGCAGAUAUCAGGAGGAACACCGGUGGCGAAGGCGGGUCUCUGGGCGAUUCCUGACGCUGAGGAGCGAAAGCGUGGGGAGCGAACAGGAUUAGAUACCCUGGUAGUCCACGACCGUAAACGUUGGGCGCUAGGUGUGGGGAGCCAUUCCACGGUUCCUGUGCCGCAGCUAACGCAUUAAGCGCCCCGCCUGGGGAAGUACGGCGCAAGGACUAAAACUCAAAGGAAUUGACGGGGGCCCCGCACAAGCGGCGGAGCAUGUGGUCUUAAUUCGACGCAACGCGAAGAACCUUACCUGGGCUUGACAUGUCAGGUGAAAGCCUCGUGAAAGCGGCUCUCCUUCGGGAGCCGGUACACAGGUGGUGCAUGGCUGUCGUCAGCUCGUGUCCGUGAGGUGUUGGGCCUUAAGUGCGCAACGAGCGCAACCCCCGUCGCUUAGUUGCCAGCGAUUCAGUGCCGGGAACUCAUGGAGACUGCCGGUGCCAAACCGGAGGAAGGUGGGGAUGACGUCAAGUCAUCAUGCCCCUUACUGUCCAGGGCUACACACGUGCUACAUUGGCCGGUACAGCGCGGCUGCCGAACCCGCUGAGGGUGGAGCGCAAUCGCUAAAAGCCGGUCUAAGGUUCGGAUUGUAGGCUGCAACCCGACUACAUGAAGCCGUGGAGAUCGCUAGUAAUCGCGGAUCAGCCAUGCCGCGGUGAAUACGUUCCCGGGCCUUGUACACACCGCCCGUCACGCCAGGGAAGCUGGGGUAACCCGAAGCCGGUGGUCUAACCCUAUGGGGGCAGCCGUCGAAGGUCGGGAAUCAGUGACUGGGGCUGAAGUCGUAACAAGGUAACC